ACCGCGAUAGCUCAGUUGGUACAGCCUCGACCCAGCAAGUAGAGUGUCGCCGAUUCCAUUCCGACUCGCGGUU
Molecule: transfer RNA, 73 nt
Filed under: Fasciola hepatica (liver fluke)
Lineage: Eukaryota; Metazoa; Platyhelminthes; Trematoda; Plagiorchiida; Fasciolidae
Description: tRNA-Ala
Source: RNAcentral